This 628-nucleotide ribosomal RNA is filed under the name uncultured bacterium. Its description in RNAcentral is "bacterial SSU rRNA". It matches the Rfam family "Bacterial small subunit ribosomal RNA", at positions 11 to 640 of the family's 1533-position model. The record is from RNAcentral.
GUUUGAUCAUGGCUCAGGAUGAACGCUGGCGGCGUGCUUAACACAUGCAAGUCGAACGGGAAUUACUUUAUUGAAACUUCGGUCGAUAUGAUUUAAUUCUAGUGGCGGACGGGUGAGUAACGCGUGGGUAACCUGCCUUAUACAGGGGGAUAACAGUCAGAAAUGACUGCUAAUACCGCAUAAGCGCACAGAGCUGCAUGGCUCGGUGUGAAAAACUCCGGUGGUAUAAGAUGGACCCGCGUUGGAUUAGCUAGUUGGUGAGGUAACGGCCCACCAAGGCGACGAUCCAUAGCCGGCCUGAGAGGGUGAACGGCCACAUUGGGACUGAGACACGGCCCAGACUCCUACGGGAGGCAGCAGUGGGGAAUAUUGCACAAUGGGGGAAACCCUGAUGCAGCGACGCCGCGUGAAGGAAGAAGUAUCUCGGUAUGUAAACUUCUAUCAGCAGGGAAGAAAAUGACGGUACCUGACUAAGAAGCCCCGGCUAACUACGUGCCAGCAGCCGCGGUAAUACGUAGGGGGCAAGCGUUAUCCGGAUUUACUGGGUGUAAAGGGAGCGUAGACGGAUGGACAAGUCUGAUGUGAAAGGCUGGGGCUCAACCCCGGGACUGCAUUGGAAACUGCCCGU